Molecule: long non-coding RNA, 449 nt
Filed under: Nicotiana benthamiana
Lineage: Eukaryota; Viridiplantae; Streptophyta; Magnoliopsida; Solanales; Solanaceae
Description: long non-coding RNA (NBEN_LNC010498)
Source: RNAcentral
UGAAAGUGAAAUUCAAGCGGGCGCGGAUGCCAUCGAAUGGGCUCUUUGCCACAGAAUGUGAUGUCUUAGAAUCUCCUUCCUUGAAAGCUUCCGUUUUUCAGUUCAGAAUCCGAUGUGAGGAAAAGAAUCCUAGGUCAAGGCAGUAGCACGGUACGGGAUCAUAGAAAAGCCCCGUACCUAUUGCUAUCAAGCGGGCGCGGAUGCCAUCAAAUGGGCUCUUUGCCACAUAAUGUGAUGUCUUAGAAUCUCCUUCCUUGAAAGCUUCCGUUUUUCAGUUGAGAAUCCGAUGUGAGGAAAAGAAUCCUAGGUCAAGGCAGUAGCACGGUACGGGAUCAGUCCCUUGUUCUCAGUGCAACGUGUGAAAUGACUUAGUCAAGAGAUCGAUCUUAGGAUACCGGCAAAGGAAGAAGGUGGAUACUACUUUGAUUCCGAUUCGGGCGGAGGAAGAC